Molecule: long non-coding RNA, 453 nt
Filed under: Setaria viridis
Lineage: Eukaryota; Viridiplantae; Streptophyta; Magnoliopsida; Poales; Poaceae
Description: long non-coding RNA (SVIR_LNC011057)
Source: RNAcentral
GAAGGUGCAACAGUUGAGGAACCUUGUAGGUGCACGAAUCUUCGUUGAGGUCCACUCUAUAGUUCUGGCCUCCAUGGCUCUCACCGCCAACAUUAGUACUACCAGCACCUCUUACACAAUAUACCAUUCUUUCUAGCCUGUAUAUUUCUGGUAAUUGGUUAACAGACCUUAGCUCAGCAUCUCAUAUAUAGUCAUCUGCAAUCUUACCCUUCCUAUGACCUUCAUUCAACAGAUCACGUGCCUUUUGCCAUCUAUCCACAAAGUACCCGUUGCAUUUUUGGAAUGAGUAUUCAAUAACUCCGGUUACAGGUCUAGUUCAGAUGCCUUUGAAAAUAUUGUUUAAGAAUUCCGAAUAGUUUGUGGCCAUAAUACUAUAACGUGUCCCUCCCUCAUCGAAAGGCUGCGCCCAUUUGUCCUUAUCCUCCAUUUCACCCUUCAACUAUUGUUUAGCCG